CAGUGCCUGGAUCUGAAAGGAGGUCUCAGUGCUGCUUUUCAGCACCCACUGUAGUUAUUUAGUAGACAUUUUGCUAUAGUGGAUUUGGUAUCUACAGUACAUGGAGAGAAAGUGGAUGAUUUCAAGAAUGAAAAGUCAAGCAUCUUGAUUAAAUGUUUCCAUUUCUUUGCAGUACUGGAAUCCUUUCCAGUUCCUUCCUCAGUGGGGCUUGCUUCAUUAUUGAAUGCCAGGCUUUGAUUUGUCAUCAAGCAACUGAUGUGAGAAAAACAAGCGAAAAGAAAAUGUAAUUUCCUUAAGAAGAAAAUGAUAAAAAAGGGAGAAGUGCAUUCUACACACAAAAGUCUGGGCAAAAACAAAGAAACAUGAGAAACCAUUGCGAAAAUAAAGGUCUACACAUCCCUGGGUGAAUACAGAAAAUAUGGAGAAAACAGGGAGGCCUAUAGGAGUCAUCACAACAAACAUCAUUUUGCCAUCCAUCGUGAAAUAAAUAGAAAAUUAUUU
This is a long non-coding RNA of Cavia porcellus (domestic guinea pig), 501 nucleotides long. RefSeq lists it as uncharacterized. The transcript has 3 exons. The record is from RefSeq and is a predicted model, not a curated record. Lineage: Eukaryota; Metazoa; Chordata; Mammalia; Rodentia; Caviidae.